This 2876-nucleotide ribosomal RNA is filed under the name Microcystis aeruginosa. RNAcentral describes it as "partial 23S rRNA". It matches the Rfam family "Bacterial large subunit ribosomal RNA". Lineage: Bacteria; Bacillati; Cyanobacteriota; Cyanophyceae; Chroococcales; Microcystaceae. The record is from RNAcentral.
UCAAGCUAAUAAGGGCUAACGGUGGAUACCUAGGCACACGGAAGCGAAGAAGGACGUAGUUACCGACGAAACGCUUCGGGGAGCGGGAAGCAAGCAUUGAUCCGAAGAUAUCCGAAUGGGGCAACCCUAAACACGACCACCUGAAUACAUAGGGUGGAGCGAGCAAACCUGGUGAACUGAAACAUCUUAGUAGCCAGAGGAAAAGAAAGCAACAGCGAUUCCCCCAGUAGCGGCGAGCGAAAAGGGAACAGCCUAAACCAAGUUCUGCGGAACUUGGGGUCGUGGGACAGUGACAAAAGACUGGGAAAUUUAGACGAAGCGGCUGAAAACCGCACCAGAGAAGGUGAAAGUCCUGUAGUCGAAAAAGGCACCAGCUUAACUGCAUCCCGAGUAGCAUGGGGCACGUGAAAUCCCGUGUGAAUCUGCCUCGACCACGAGGUAAGGCUAAAUAUUCCCGUGUGACCGAUAGAGAAACAGUACCGCGAGGGAAAGGUGAAAAGAACCCCGGAAGGGGAGUGAAAUAGAACAUGAAACCGUUAGCCUACAAGCAAUGGGAGGACGAUUGAACGUCUGACCGUGUGCCUGUUGAAGAAUGAGCCGGCGACUUACAGGUUAUGGCAGGUGAAGGGGGAAGACCCCACAGCCCCAGCGAAAGCGAGUCUGAAGAGGGCGAAGCGUCAUAAUUUGUAGACCCGAACCCGGGUGAUCUAACCAUGGCCAGGAUGAAGCUUGGGUAAAACCAAGUGGAGGUCCGAACCGACUAAUGUUGAAAAAUUAGCGGAUGAGCUGUGGUUAGGGGUGAAAUGCCAAUCGAACUCGGAGCUAGCUGGUUCUCCCCGAAAUGUGUUGAGGCGCAGCGGUAGUGGAAGUUUAGUCGGGGUAAAGCACUGUUUCGCCGCGGGCUGGGAGACCGGUACCAAGGCGAGGCAAACUCUGAAUACGGCUAAAAAAACUACCAGUGAGACGGUGGGGGAUAAGCUUCAUCGUCAAGAGGGAAACAGCCCAGACCACCAGCUAAGGUCCCCAAAUGAUAACUAAGUGAGAAAGGAGGUGGGAGUGCAUGGACAACCAGGAGGUUUGCCUAGAAGCAGCAAUCCUUAAAAGAGUGCGUAAUAGCUCACUGGUCAAGCGCUCCUGCGCCGAAAAUGAACGGGGCUAAGUUAUCUACCGAAGCUGUGGACUACAUUGUAGUGGUAGGGGAGCGUUCUAUAGGGGGUGAAGCAGUAGCGGCAAGCAGCUGUGGACUCUAUAGAAGUGAGAAUGUCGGCUUAAGUAGCGAAAAUGUGGGUGAGAAUCCCACACCCCGAAACCCCAAGGUUUCCUCCGCAAGGCUCGUCCGCGGAGGGUCAGUCAGGACCUAAGGCGAGGCUGAAAAGCGUAGUCGAUGGACAACGGGUUAACAUUCCCGUACCGAUUAAUGAUUGUGCCGGAGAACGGAGAAGGUCAACGUCAGCUGGAUGUUGGUUACCAGUGCAAGCAGUCGAGGCGAUGAGAGGUGGUGAAAACACCUGGAGCUAAGACGCGAGUCCCACCUCCCACGGGAGGGAAGUGGCGCUGAUCAAGCUUCCUAGAAAAGCCCGAACCACGUUAAUCAUUAAUUGCCUGUACCCGAAACCGACACAGGUGGGGAAGUAGAGAAUACUAAGGGGCGCGAGAUAACUCUCUCUAAGGAACUCGGCAAAAUGACCCCGUAACUUCGGGAGAAGGGGUACCCUCGCAAGAGGGUCGCAGUGAAUAGGCCCAGGCGACUGUUUACCAAAAACACAGGUCUCCGCCAAGUCGUAAGACGCAGUAUGGAGGCUGACGCCUGCCCAGUGCCGGAAGGUUAAGGAAGUUGGUCAGGAGUAAUCUGAAGCUGACGACCGAAGCCCCGGUGAACGGCGGCCGUAACUAUAACGGUCCUAAGGUAGCGAAAUUCCUUGUCGGGUAAGUUCCGACCCGCACGAAAGGCGUAACGAUCUGGGCACUGUCUCGGAGAGAGACUCGGCGAAAUAGGAUUGUCUGUGAAGAUACGGACUACCUGCACCUGGACAGAAAGACCCUAUGAAGCUUUACUGUAGCCUGGCAUUGGCUUCGGGCUUCGCUUGCGCAGGAUAGGUGGGAAGCUUUGAAACUCUCCUCGUGGGGAGAGUGGAGCUAACGGUGAGAUACCACUCUGGCGAGGCUAGAAUUCUAACCCUGACCCCUCAUCGGGGCGGGAGACAGUUUCAGGUGGGCAGUUUGACUGGGGCGGUCGCCUCCUAAAAGGUAACGGAGGCGCGCAAAGGUUCCCUCGGUCCCGUUGGAAAUGGGACGAUAGAGUGCAAAAGCAGAAGGGAGCUUGACUGUGAGACCCACAAGUCGAACAGGGACGAAAGUCGGCUUUAGUGAUCCGACGGCACCGCGUGGAAGGGCCGUCGCUCAACGGAUAAAAGUUACUCUAGGGAUAACAGGCUGAUCUCCCCCAAGAGUUCACAUCGACGGGGAGGUUUGGCACCUCGAUGUCGGCUCAUCGCAACCUGGGGCUGAAGUCGGUCCCAAGGGUUGGGCUGUUCGCCCAUUAAAGCGGUACGUGAGCUGGGUUCAGAACGUCGUGAGACAGUUCGGUCCAUAUCCGGUGUAGGCGUAAGAGCAUUGCGAGGAGCCUUCCUUAGUACGAGAGGACCGGGAAGGACGCACCGCUGGUGUACCUGUUAUCGUGCCAACGGUAAACGCAGGGUAGCCAUGUGCGGAGCGGAUAACCGCUGAAAGCAUCUAAGUGGGAAGCCCACCUCCAGAUGAUUGCUCUCAUGGCAUUAAGCCAGUAAGGUCUCGGGUAGACUACCCGUUGAUAGGCUCUAGAUGGAAGCUCGGUAACGAGUGCAGUCGAGGAGUACUAACCGACCGAGGGCUUGACC